CCCAAAAAAAAAUACUAGCAAGUAAGAACAUUUGAUCGGCCACUUCUGCUUCUCAAUCCCUUCCAUGGCCACUACCCCGACGAUCCCGAACCCUAAGCUUCGAUCGAUCCCCCUCCUCCUCUUCCGCUUCGUCUUCGUCCUCUGCGUUCCCGGCGAUCUUAGCUCCGGCUCGGCCCCAUCGACGAUCCUCCACCUCCAUGGCGAAUCCGCGGAGCGCGUCGUCGCCGAGGCCUCGCGGUGCCCGUCGCCGAACCCUAGCCUCUACUACUACCCGGUGAUCGGGAUCGUGAGCCACCCCGGGGACGGCGCCUCCGGGAGGCUGAGCAACGCCACCGCCGCCUCCAACAUCCCCGCCUCCUACGUCAAGUUCGUCGAGUCCGCGGGAGCCCGCGUCAUCCCCCUCCUCUACAACGACCCCGAAGAAACCCUCCUCGAUAAGCUGAGUUUGGUGAAUGGUGUGUUGUUUACUGGUGGAUGGGCCAAAAAAGGUCAAUAUUUUGAAACCAUAAAGAAAGUCUUCCAGAUAAUUUUGGACAGAAAUGAUGCAGGGGAUCAUUUUCCAUUGUUUGCAAUUUGUUUAGGCUUCGAGCUCGUAAACAUGAUAGUCAGCAAGGACCAUAAUAUUUGUGAGAGUUUCAGCGCAGAAAAUCAAGCGUCAACUCUUCAGUUCACAAAUUAUAGUGUGAUUCAAGGAUCUGUUUUUGAAAGAUUCCCUCCCGAACUACUCGAGAAAUUAAGCACCGAUUGUCUUGCUAUGCAAAAUCAUAAGUUUGGUGUAUCUCCUCAAAGGUUGCAAGAGAAUUAUGCUUUAUCAAGUUUCUUCAAGAUUUUGACUACGUCAGCUGAUGAAAAUAACGCGAUCUAUGUCUCAACUGCGCAAGCAUACAAUUAUCCAGUGACUUGUUUCCAGUGGCAUCCUGAGAAAAAUGCUUUUGAAUGGGGACUAUCGAUGAUUCCACACAGUGAGGAUGCAGUUCAAGUAACGCAGCAUGUGGCUAAUUAUUUCAUCAGCGAGGCUCGCAAGUCCUCAAACAGGCCUCCUGCUGAGAAGGUGCUGAAUAAUCUCAUCUACAAUUACAGCCCCACAUAUUGCGGGAAGGAGGGGAAGGGGUAUGACGAAGUUUACAUCUUCUCCGAAUAUACUGGAAAAAGUUUGAACGAGUAGCUUCUCAUCCAAGCCUAUUGGGCCUCUUAAAUUCCUCGUUUAAUACGGUAUUAAGAUUCAGAUAAAAAAACUUUCAGAUCAAAAUAAGCUUUUAAGAUUCGGACGUGAGGUGUAUCAUAUGGCUCACCGUGCUAUUUCAACGAGAAUUCAUGGAGCUCCCCAUUAAAGUUGCGCUUCCAAAUACAUGCAUUGGCGGGAAGGGAUUGUGUGGCGGAGCCGAGCAAAAGCAAUUGGAAGCUCCAGAGCCCUACAAAAACUACGGGACGACCCUGCAAAAACUAGAGGACGGGAGCAAGAUCUAGAGACUGUUUGGUUGGAUGUAAUCAUAAAAAUAUUGUAGUUGAAAAUACAUGCAGUUAUAAAUGUUGCAGUUAUAACUACACUUAGUUUUUUUGAUUUUAUGUAGUUACAACUGCUGGAGUUAUAUUUCUUCUGUUUGAUAGGUUGCAGUUGAGAUUUGCAUUUGUAAAUUCUAUCAAUGUUUAAAUAGAAAUAUGAGAUUGCCUCUUCUAAACAUAA
RNA transcript from Ananas comosus (pineapple), 1684 nucleotides. It is a transcript of the gene named gamma-glutamyl hydrolase 2-like, with no coding region annotated. NCBI's taxonomy places the organism in Eukaryota, Viridiplantae, Streptophyta, Magnoliopsida, Poales, Bromeliaceae. The record is from RefSeq and is a predicted model, not a curated record. The transcript is spliced from 11 exons.